CCCUUAGAUGUUCUGGGCUGCACGCGCGCUACACUGAUGCGAUCAACAAGUUUUUCCUAUGUCGAUAGACACGGGUAAUCUUUUGAACUCGCAUCGUGAUGGGGAUAGAUUAUUGUAAUUAUUAAUCUUCAACGAGGAAUUCCUAGUAGGUGCAAAUCAUCAGUUUGCAUCGAUUACGUCCCUGCCCUUUGUACACACCGCCCGUCGCUGCUACCGAUUGGUUGAUCUGGUGAAUUAUUCGGACUGCCGGCUGAAGGGGUUUCCUCAUCUGCCAGCGGAAAGUCUUGUUAACCCUAUCAACUAGAGGAAGCAGAAGUCGUAAC
This 323-nucleotide ribosomal RNA is filed under the name uncultured eukaryote. Its description in RNAcentral is "partial 18S ribosomal RNA". It matches the Rfam family "Eukaryotic small subunit ribosomal RNA", at positions 1470 to 1795 of the family's 1831-position model. The record is from RNAcentral.